AGUGAACGCUGGCGGUAGGCCUAACACAUGCAAGUCGAACGGCAGCACAGUAAGAGCUUGCUCUUACGGGUGGCGAGUGGCGGACGGGUGAGGAAUACAUCGGAAUCUACUUUUUCGUGGGGGAUAACGUAGGGAAACUUACGCUAAUACCGCAUACGACCUACGGGUGAAAGCAGGGGAUCUUCGGACCUUGCGCGAUUGAAUGAGCCGAUGUCGGAUUAGCUAGUUGGCGGGGUAAAGGCCCACCAAGGCGACGAUCCGUAGCUGGUCUGAGAGGAUGAUCAGCCACACUGGAACUGAGACACGGUCCAGACUCCUACGGGAGGCAGCAGUGGGGAAUAUUGGACAAUGGGCGCAAGCCUGAUACAGCCAUACCGCGUGGGUGAAGAAGGACUUCGGGUUGUAAAGCCCUUUUGUUGGGAAAGAAAAGCAGCAGGUUAAUACCCCGCUGUUCUGACGGUACCCAAAGAAUAAGCACCGGCUAACUUCGUG
This 492-nucleotide ribosomal RNA is filed under the name uncultured bacterium. RNAcentral's name for it is "partial 16S ribosomal RNA". It matches the Rfam family "Bacterial small subunit ribosomal RNA", at positions 29 to 507 of the family's 1533-position model. The record is from RNAcentral.